Molecule: ribosomal RNA, 266 nt
Filed under: Clostridioides difficile
Lineage: Bacteria; Bacillati; Bacillota; Clostridia; Peptostreptococcales; Peptostreptococcaceae
Description: partial 16S ribosomal RNA
Rfam family: Bacterial small subunit ribosomal RNA
Source: RNAcentral
UUUUAUUUGAGAGUUUGAUCCUGGCUCAGGAUGAACGCUGGCGGCGUGCCUAACACAUGCAAGUUGAGCGAUUUACUUCGGUAAAGAGCGGCGGACGGGUGAGUAACGCGUGGGUAACCUACCCUGUACACACGGAUAACAUACCGAAAGGUAUGCUAAUACGGGAUAAUAUAUUUGAGAGGCAUCUCUUAAAUAUCAAAGGGGAGCAAGUACAGGAUGGCCGCGUGUCGUUUUAGCUAGUUGGUAAGGUAACGGCUUAACAAGGC